GUCUACCACCUCGCUCUUUCAUUUUCAAGGUGUUAACUCAUAAAAUGUUCUCAAAUUUUCAGAAGUCUUGAAAUCCAAAGGUUCUUGCAUUCCGUUGUGUCUGGAUUAAAUUCACUGGCGUUUGGAUUAUUUCGGCUGGCGUUUGGAUUAAAUUGAGCGGCGCUCGGAUUAAAAUCACUGGCACUUGGAUUAAAUUGACUGGCGCUUAGAUUAAAUUGACUGGCGGUGAGAUUAAAUUGACUGGCGCUUGGAUUAAAUUGAGCGGGAAAACCUGUAGUACACUCUAGUUCCGUCGACCAGGUGAACGCAGACACUUUCUUGCUUGCGGCGCAGUAAACAUAGUUAUACUCAAAUGUUAUCGCGUAAAAUCUAAUUUUAUUUCUGCAGUAUGUUAUAUAACGUACAACACGCUACAUAAACUUUGUACGACUUUGAGAUGGAAGCAUAGUAACUCUAUGGAUGGAAGCAUGGUUUACUUUGGUUUGUUACUAGGAUAUUUAACAGGGAUAAGCGGGCUAGUUGGUGGUCGUUAAUGGAAUGCAUCAUGUAACCGCACUGAAAAACAAGGGACAAGGAAGGAACACACAAGACAGGCGCGGAUUUUUUUUUUUCCUUGUCCCUUGUUUUUCAGUGCGGUUACAUGAUGCAUUCCAUUGUUACUAGGACACACCAGGUUAUGCAUACUUGUGCGAUUCUGUUCCCGACUUAACGCCAAAGAAUAAUUAUUCAUUUAUUUUUGCAACAGCAAUAACAACCGUGCAUGUACUCAUCAAGUAUUUCUGGAAAUAAACAUGUAUUGUGAGAAAGUGUUGCGCCCUUGAGCGGAAUGCUACAAGUGUCGUCUGCUACGACGCCUGCUCGCUGCAAACUAUACUUUUCUCGGAGACGACAGGCACUUGCGAACACUCUCGCUCUUUCGAAAGGCUGUGUCGGCUGUCACGAUUGCUGAACGUCUUCAAGUACUGUUAAACGCAUCUGAUGCAGUGCUAGCUAGGAAGCUAUUGGCCUCCUACGAGUAUUUCGUCAUCAUAUCUUAUAUUGACGUACCGCUUCCGUAGCGUUAUGGCGUGGCUUUGCACUUACCCAUUUUGCGACACUAGACUUCAGCCAGGGAGCAGCAACCUUUCCUACCACAAGGGCACCACCAGGACUCUCAAGUUGGAGCAUGCUUACAUCGGCCAAUGUCCAUGCCAAAAAUCCUUUUUCAAGAGUAUGACCAAGUUCCAAGAGUAUGACCAUACCACGUGUGUACAGUAGAACCUCGUUGACAUGACCCCGUUUUGUAAAAUUUUCCAGUGCCAAUGUCCGUGAUCGAGAACACGAAAUAUGACCCUAUACAGUUCUGCUUUUAUUUGUACGGGUUAAUACAUUUCUGGGAAACACAAUCUUUUGGUACCACUGUUUAGUACAUCACCAAACUGCGAUCGUAUGAUAGGUGUUCACAUGAGACCUAGCCACCAUAAUAAGAAAAGGCGCGAGGCAUGUGCAAUCAAGGGCAGUAGUGCCCGCCAGGGCAGCUUCCCCGCAGUACUCGUCUGCCAGUGUCGUGUAAACCAAGAGGCACUCGGUUUCCUUUACCAGCAAAUCUUGUGGGCUGUCGCACGAUGCACUCAGUUAUCCCCUCUAGACCUACCGUGAUAAGCAUCUUUACCUAUAUGUUUCAGUGCGUUUGGCGUGGUGCCAUUGGAAGCGUCUACUCCAUGCCCUUAACACGAAGUGAGUGGCAUGUUUUGCUUUGGUGACAUUGUAUUCUACCAUCGCCCACCAGCUUGACCUUGUUUCAUGUCACUGUCUCAAAACACGCAACAGGAACACAACAUCAUGGGCCUCGAGCCCCACCAGCUUGGCACAUGUCAGCGCCUCACGCUGCAAUAAUUGACGCAAUGCUUCUCAUCAGGUAGCUCUCAGCUGCAGUUGUGUUUGCCAAUUUUUUUUUGUGACUUCGGUUCGUUUGUUCUUUCUCGUAAUUUUUUUUUUCAAGACGUAUGAAUGAGGUUCUACUGUACUGUGCUUCCUACAGUUACACAGAGAAAGCUUGUGGUAAUACAGGGUAGUGAAGGCCUUUAAUUGCUAUGCUUCUUGAUGAUCCUGGGCAUCUUGAAGAUGCGUCCUGCACAAUUAGUGCGCUGGUUGCUCAACUUGGAGAAAAAAUUGGAGUUCACACUUGCCGUUUGUCACUUUAAAUUGUAGGUUUUUACUUAUGCUUACUUAUGUCAUGUCAUGUGUUAGUAAACAUAAAUGCACAAUGUAUUAUGCCAUGGUGAAUCAUUGAAGUUAGUGACACACUAAAGGUUCUUUGUCUAAUAAACUGUAUAUAGUAAACUUCUGAUUUUUUGGGGUCCCUAGGGGACGCGAGAACAGCCGAAAAAUCAGGCUGUCCGAAGAAAUUAAUGCAGCGGCCCCCAAUGUCUCAAAUCACCACAGGCAUGUCUGAAAUAGCUCUGAAGGCCUGUAAGUACACUUAUUAGUCGGAUCGGUGCUCAUACUAUCACAGGAGACGGCGGGUGCACACACGCAUAAUUAAUGAAUGCAUAGUGUACCGUGACAAUUACCCCUUCCCACUCUUGGUAUGCUUCACCAUGUAGCAUGAGGCGAAGCAGACUUUCUAACCGGCACUAUGCAACACUGUGGUGGCUAUGGCUGUCAGUGGAUUUGCGUCCCAGGCUGCCCUUCGAGGCGGGCAAGAUAAUCAACAUGGCAGUGGUGGUAGCUUUGAUAACUCUCUUUUGGUGCUGCAGUCAUGGCAAAAAGUCCGGAAAAUCGGAUGGUGAAGCAUCUUUGCUUUUGAAAUUUCAGAUGUUCUUAUACAUUGAUUCUAUGGGGUAUGUGGCAGUUCCAUGAAGGCAUCCGAAAAAUCGGCCAUUAACUGUAUCCCCCAUGUUCAUUCCUAUAUAUUUUGUUGCAUGCAACUUGUAAGUCUAUGCGUGUCCCGCCUGAAGGAAAGGUAUAAAAAAAAGGAUAGACAGUGCUGUGGUGUGCAGACUUCUUUACUUUUCCGUGCAUCAUCUGUGUGCUGAUUAAGUAGAAGAUGAAUAUGCCGGAACAUAAGGGAGUUGGUGAUAUGGGCCCAGCAUAUUCUACUACAGAAAUUGCAGGCCACAAUGCCAUCACACCCACGUCUCAUCAGAGAUUUUUGCAAUCUGGUGCUAGUGUCGACAGGAACUGCAAGCACUACGGUUCAUCAAGCAUCACAAUGAAGUGGAGCACUACAAGGACUUGCCUAAACUUUGGCUUCGAGUGGCCUUGUGACUUUGCAAAUUGAUCAUUUCUAACAAUAGGCACUGCUUAAAAACAUGGUGACCAUAAUGUGUUUUCAGCUCUUGCAGCUGCUUCUGGUGCUUGCAGUACACAAAAAACAUGGCAAGUUAUGCCGAAGGAGCUAUUGCUAGGAGGCUUAGUUUGGGCAACACCUAUAGUGCGAUGCAAGUGCAACAAUAUGUGGUGAUUAUGCACGUGCACAUGAUCAUAUUACCUUAAAGAGCUUAGAAAAGUUAUGACUGCUCUAAUAUUUAGAAUUAAAAAAAAUUAAGCAUAAUAAUGCAACACAGUCUGAAGCCAAAGCACAAAGAUGCUCCAUCUUCGUGAUUGUGGAAGAAUUCCUGCAUUUAAGCCAUCAUUUCCAUGGUAGCCAAACGACUGCAGAACCAGAGUUCCCUUUAGGAAAUUCCAUGGACAAGAGAUACCGUAUUUACUUGCAUAAUAAUCGCACCCCUGAAUUUUGUUGUCAAAAUUUGAUUUUCUUUUUCUUUCCCGUGUAAUGAUCACACCUCGAACUAGCUGCAGCGAUAUGUCGUGUGCCAAGUCUAGCUAAUGAUGAUCGCGCUUACCAUCUGUCAAAUGCUGCGCGAAUGACUCUUCCCAGACAUACCAAGCGGUCUGCACGCACCCAACAUUCUUAAGCAGAUACCCCAUUUCAUUCCUUUCAUCACUUCCAUAAAAAAAAAAAAAAAAGCUACAACCAAACUUGCCUCGGCUUUAUUAUUUGUAGGCUUCAUAAUGGUUUUGGUCAACAACAACA
Molecule: non-coding RNA, 4018 nt
Organism: Dermacentor andersoni
Lineage: Eukaryota; Metazoa; Arthropoda; Arachnida; Ixodida; Ixodidae
Source: RefSeq, a predicted model, not a curated record